GUGCCCUUGGCCGAGCGGUAAAGGUUCCAGCCUUCCAAGCUGGCGAGGUGGGUUCGACUCCCACAGGGCACUC
This 73-nucleotide transfer RNA is filed under the name Adhaeretor mobilis. RNAcentral's name for it is "Planctomycetes bacterium HG15A2 tRNA-Gly". It matches the Rfam family "tRNA". Rfam says of the family: Transfer RNA (tRNA) molecules are approximately 80 nucleotides in length. Their secondary structure includes four short double-helical elements and three loops (D, anti-codon, and T loops). Further hydrogen bonds mediate the characteristic L-shaped molecular structure. tRNAs have two regions of fundamental functional importance: the anti-codon, which is responsible for specific mRNA codon recognition, and the 3' end, to which the tRNAs corresponding amino acid is attached (by aminoacyl-tRNA synthetases). tRNAs cope with the degeneracy of the genetic code in two manners: having more than one tRNA (with a specific anti-codon) for a particular amino acid; and 'wobble' base-pairing, i.e. permitting non-standard base-pairing at the 3rd anti-codon position. Lineage: Bacteria; Pseudomonadati; Planctomycetota; Planctomycetia; Pirellulales; Lacipirellulaceae. The record is from RNAcentral.